Nycticebus coucang (slow loris) is the source of this 820-nucleotide long non-coding RNA. RefSeq lists it as uncharacterized. NCBI's taxonomy places the organism in Eukaryota, Metazoa, Chordata, Mammalia, Primates, Lorisidae. The record is from RefSeq and is a predicted model, not a curated record. The transcript has 3 exons.
UUCACCUGCCGGCUGGCGCCGCUGUCCUCGCCCUACGCUCCUGGGGCCGGAACCCUCCUCGAGCAAGCGGAGUAGAACGGACCCAUCUGCCGGCCGGAGCGGCGGCGCCUCUAUGCGGACUCCGCACGAAACCAGCGGAGUAGAACAGACCCAAUUGCCCGCAGGAGCGAAGGCGCCUGGAUGCGGACCCGGCUGCUGGAAGACUGGAGCCCACCCGGAAGCGACUUUGGGUCCGCUGCGCCCCACGCCUAUGCAGAGGCGGUCCACCAGCGGAGCGAGUUUACACUUACAGCAAAGCUGCUGCUCAUUCAUGUCUCUGGUCACACAACAUAUUGGCAUAGUCGGUAGGAUCAGGGGAUCGCGAAGGAGCAGAAAGACUUUCUGAACACCGGGCUGGAGGACAGCUGCCUCCACCAGAUCCUCGGAGAGAUCUUCGCUGAAGCCGUUUGAGGUUUUACUUCUAUAGAUGUGGAAGCUUCUCCUUGUAAAGAGCACAGUUUUACAUUGCAAAGGGAAUGGGUGCAUUAGACUUGAUGUAAAGGAAAUCAAACCUUUUUCUUAACUAAUACUUCUAAAGGUCCUAUAAUGGACUGGAGUCCAAAGGCAACUUUACUUGACAGCAAUAAGAGACCUAUUAACAUUGAGUUGCCAAGAGAUGAGUUUACUUAUCCUAUAAAUAAAAAUAAAAUUAAUAUUAAUAUGAUAACACCUAUGAGUUGGACAGAUGUUGAGUUUGCACCCCCCGCACCUGGAAUUUAUGACUUUCCUGAACAAAAUCAUUUGUGGAAAGUAGCAACAGCUCUAAAACCUAUGAAGGGUU